This 270-nucleotide ribosomal RNA is filed under the name uncultured bacterium. Its description in RNAcentral is "partial small subunit ribosomal RNA". It matches the Rfam family "Bacterial small subunit ribosomal RNA", at positions 26 to 285 of the family's 1533-position model. The record is from RNAcentral.
AGAAUCAACGCUGGCGGCGUGCCUAACACAUGCAAGUCGAACGCGAGAGGGGAGCAAUCCCUGAUCGAGUGGCAAACGGGUGAGUAACACGUGGGUGACCUGCCUUCGAGUGGGGGAUAACGUCCCGAAAGGGACGCUAAUACCGCAUGACAUCCUGCUUUUGGAAAAGCGGACAUUAAAGCUAGGGAUCGCAAGACCUGGCGCUUGAAGAGGGGCCCGCGCCUGAUUAGCUAGUUGGUGGGUAACGGCUCACCAAGGCGACGAUCAGUA